RNAcentral lists this ribosomal RNA (497 nucleotides) under uncultured bacterium. Its description in RNAcentral is "partial 16S ribosomal RNA". It matches the Rfam family "Bacterial small subunit ribosomal RNA", at positions 28 to 507 of the family's 1533-position model. The record is from RNAcentral.
GACGAACGCUGGCGGCGUGCCUAAUACAUGCAAGUUGAGCGCUGAAGGCUGGUACUUGUACCAACUGGAUGAGCAGCGAACGGGUGAGUAACGCGUGGGGAAUCUGCCUUUGAGCGGGGGACAACAUUUGGAAACGAAUGCUAAUACCGCAUAAAAACUUUAAACACAAGUUUUAAGUUUGAAAGAUGCAAUUGCAUCACUCAAAGAUGAUCCCGCGUUGUAUUAGCUAGUUGGUGAGGUAAAGGCUCACCAAGGCGAUGAUACAUAGCCGACCUGAGAGGGUGAUCGGCCACAUUGGGACUGAGACACGGCCCAAACGCCUACGGGAGGCAGCAGUAGGGAAUCUUCGGCAAUGGACGAAAGUCUGACCGAGCAACGCCGCGUGAGUGAAGAAGGUUUUCGGAUCGUAAAACUCUGUUGGUAGAGAAGAACGUUGGUGAGAGUGGAAAGCUCAUCAAGUGACGGUAACUACCCAGAAAGGGACGGCUAACUACGUG